CGCUUUGUCAUCACGUUUCCUCAAUCGCCAGACAUUAAAGCCGCUCUAAGGACCAGCCGGGGCUUACGAGGUGACUGGAGAGAGCAAGGCGGAUGUGGGGUGGUCCGUGGCAGGCCGGCCACUUCUUCUUCGUCCCCGUCUCUGGGAGUCAGUCCCGUGGGUGUGGACCCCCCGCAUGACCAGGGUGCCGGUAGGCGGGAUGCAGAACGCUCUUGCCUCCUGGAAGGUCCUCACAGCGCGCUGGCUCUGAACGUCCUCCUGGUCUGGUGGCUCAUGCGAGGGGACCGCUCAUGUUGCUGGAAGAGAUGGGCACUCACCGGGCCGGACCGCUGUGGCUGUGGUCCCUUGGCCCGCAGUAGAUCCGAGUCUCCCCCACAGAAGGACGGGGAUGUGGCCAUUGCAUCGGGCUGUGAAGGUUUCUAUCUGGGAGUGACAGACAUCACCUCCAGUCAAAUUCACACUGACAUCCGGGUAGGAAGAGCAGCCUCGCCGUGGCUGGAAGGACGAGACACCUGCUGCGCAUGAAUGGUCCUAACGAGCAGCCUACUGAUUCUGUGAAGGAGACAAACAGCUUUGCCAUGAAAAGAAGGAAAUAAAAAGCCGCUCUCUGUUAAAGGAAGAAAAGUG
RNAcentral lists this long non-coding RNA (627 nucleotides) under Felis catus (domestic cat). Its description in RNAcentral is "lncRNA (ENSFCAG00000052822.1)". The record is from RNAcentral. Lineage: Eukaryota; Metazoa; Chordata; Mammalia; Carnivora; Felidae.